UACGUAGGGUGCAAGCGUUGUCCGGAAUUAUUGGGCGUAAAGAGCUCGUAGGCGGUUUGUCGCGUCGACUGUGAAAACCCGAGGCUUAACCUCGGGCCUGCAGUCGAUACGGGCAGACUAGAGUUCGGUAGGGGAGACUGGAAUUCCUGGUGUAGCGGUGAAAUGCGCAGAUAUCAGGAGGAACACCGGUGGCGAAGGCGGGUCUCUGGGCAUUACCUGACGCUGAGGAGCGAAAGUGUGGGGAGCGAACAGG
This 253-nucleotide ribosomal RNA is filed under the name uncultured bacterium. RNAcentral's name for it is "partial 16S ribosomal RNA". It matches the Rfam family "Bacterial small subunit ribosomal RNA", at positions 524 to 776 of the family's 1533-position model. The record is from RNAcentral.